CAGUCGCCACGGUAAUACGUAGGUGGCAAGCGUUGUCCGGAAUUAUUGGGCGUAAAGGGCUCGCAGGCGGUUUCUUAAGUCUGAUGUGAAAGCCCCCGGCUCAACCGGGGAGGGUCAUUGGAAACUGGGAAACUUGAGUGCAGAAGAGGAGAGUGGAAUUCCACGUGUAGCGGUGAAAUGCGUAGAGAUGUGGAGGAACACCAGUGGCGAAGGCGACUCUCUGGUCUGUAACUGACGCUGAGGAGCGAAAGCGUGGGGAGCGAACAGGAUUAGAUACCCCCGUAGUCCCUGUCUCUAUACA
Molecule: ribosomal RNA, 301 nt
Filed under: uncultured bacterium
Lineage: Bacteria
Description: partial 16S ribosomal RNA
Rfam family: Bacterial small subunit ribosomal RNA
Source: RNAcentral